Molecule: RNA transcript, 3159 nt
Organism: Dermochelys coriacea (leatherback sea turtle)
Lineage: Eukaryota; Metazoa; Chordata; Testudines; Dermochelyidae
Gene: DGKQ
Gene name: diacylglycerol kinase theta
Exons: 24
Source: RefSeq, a predicted model, not a curated record
GGCUCAGGGACCGCCCCGCUGCCCCGCGGGAGGAGGGAGCGGACCCGGCGGGCCCGGGCUGCGGGGUCAUGGCGGACGGAGUCCGCACCGUGCUCGGCGGUCGCGGGGGCAGCCCGGCCUCCAGCCCCCAGCUGGGUGGCAGGAGCCGCUCGCAGCCGCCGCCGGCUCCGCUCGGCGCGCCCGGGCACGGCUUCCGCAGGGUGACCCUGACCAAGCCCACCUUCUGCCACUGCUGCACCGACUUCAUCUGGGGGCUGGCGGGCUACCAGUGCGAGGUUUGCAACUUUAUGUCUCAUGAAAAGUGCCUCAAGCAUGUGAAGAUACCAUGCUCGUGUAUUGCGCUGAGUCUCGUAAGGGUUCCAGUUGCACAUUGUUUUGGACUUCCGGGACAUUACAAAAAAAAGUUUUGCACCGUGUGCAGAAAGCAGUUGGAGUCCCUUGCAUUUCGAUGUGAAGUGUGUGAACUACACGUGCAUACAGAUUGUGUCCCAUUUGCUUGUAGCGAUUGUCGUCAGUGCCAUCAAGAUGGGCAUCACGAUCAUGAUACAUACCAUCAUCAUUGGAGGGAGGGAAAUCUCUCGUCCAGUGCUCGUUGUGAAGUCUGCAAGAAAACCUGUGGUUCUUCAGAGGUGCUGUCUGGCAUGAGGUGUGAGUGGUGUGGCAUUCUGGCUCAUGCUUCUUGCUACAUUAUUGUACCACCAGAAUGUACUUUUGGAAGAUUAAGAAAUAUGAUUCUUCCUCCGAAUUGUGUGCGUUUAGUUUCUCGCAAUUUCAGCAAAAUGCACUGUUUUCGAAUAUCCGAGAGCCUGCAAACAGAACCAGAUGAAGAUGAGGAUGUUGAUGGCUUAACACAAGGGUCAGUGAAAGAUGCCCAGAUUUCAACAGAUUCAAGUAAACAAACAUUAAAGAUAUUUGAUGGGAAUGAUGCAGUAAAACGCAAUCAAUUUCGACUGAUUUCCGUUCCAAGGAUUGCAAAAAGUGAAGAGGUUGUGGAGGCAGCGCUGAGGGCAUACUACGUAAAUGAUGAUCAACAGCACUAUGAGCUCCAGACAUUUUCUCAGCAGACCUUGUUUUCUGAUGACAUCGUCAACAGGAAUGAUGCCACUGAAGAAACCAACCCAGGUCCAGUGUUCAGAGAGGCGGUUCCCGAAGCUUGGAUCAUCAGAGCCAAAUCUAAGGAUCACGAAGUAAUAAGAAUUUAUCCUGGUUGGCUGAAAGUGGGAAUGGCAUAUAUCUCUCUACGAAUAAAUAAGGAAAGCACCACCCAGACAGUAAUUAAAGAAGUCCUCCUGCAAUUAGGACUGCAGACGGAAUGCCUCCAGAAUUUCAAACUUCUUGAAGUACUUAUGGGCAGUAAGCAAGUGCAGCGAAUGGUGCUGGAUGACCAGGAGAUGAUCCUUAGCAGACUUAAGGACAUAAGAAAGACUUCAAUACGUCAGAUGACUCAAACAAGAUUUUACAUUGUAGAAAAUAGUAAAUCUGUUGUGCGGGUAAAUUUGUUUGUGGGUGGCUUGCCACCUCAACUCUCUGCUGAAGAAUACACUAACAUCCUCAAGGAUGACUUAGCUAUCAAAACAAAUCUCCUUUCUUUGAGUCAUGUUUACUCAAUGCAAGGUGCUGUUGUACUUGAAAUGUUUUGUUUUUCUGAAGCUGAAAGAAUAUAUAUGCUAGCUAAAGAUACAACGGUCAGUGACAAACAGCUUACUGCUGCUGUGAUUCCCGAAGUUCUGCAUACCAAGCUACCACAGAACUGCUGUCCACUGCUUGUGUUUGUGAAUCCCAAAAGUGGAGGUCUGAAAGGCCGAGAUCUACUCUACAGUUUUAGAAAACUGCUAAAUCCUCAUCAGGUUUUUGAACUCACUAAUGGAGGUCCACUGCCUGGAUUUCAUACAUUCUCUCAAGUUCCCUAUUUCCGAGUGCUGGUGUGCGGUGGCGAUGGCACAGUUGGUUGGGUCCUGGGUGCGCUGGAGGAAAUCAGACACAUGCUCGUCUGUUCAGAGCCCUCUGUAGCCAUCUUACCUUUAGGAACAGGUAAUGAUUUAGGGAGGGUGCUUCGCUGGGGAGCUGGUUAUAGUGGGGAAGAUCCCUACUCGGUUCUGAUAUCUGUAGAUGAAGCUGAUGAUGUACUUAUGGAUCGCUGGACCAUCCUUUUAGAUGCUCAGGAGGCUGUUGAAAGUGCAGAGAAUGGUAUUUUGGAACCUGAGCCUCCAAAGAUUGUACAAAUGAACAACUAUUGUGGCCUUGGAAUUGAUGCAGAAUUGAGCUUGGGCUUUCACCAUGCUCGAGAAGAAGAACCAGGCAAAUUUAAUAGCAGAUUUCACAACAAAGGAGUAUACGUAAAAGUUGGACUGCAGAGGAUAAGUCACACCAGAAACCUUCACAAAGAUAUAAAACUUCAAGUGGACCAGCAUGAAGUUGAGUUACCAAGUAUCGAGGGACUCAUUUUCAUUAAUAUCCCCAGUUGGGGGUCUGGAGCUGAUCUCUGGGGAUCUGACCAUGAUAAUCGAUUUGAGAAACCAAGAAUCGAUGAUGGCUUACUGGAAGUCGUGGGGGUGACUGGAGUUGUGCACAUGGGUCAAGUACAAGGCGGUCUGCGAUCAGGGAUCCGCAUAGCCCAAGGAUCUUACUUUCGUGUUACGCUUCUGAAACCAAUACCGGUUCAAGUAGAUGGAGAGCCCUGGAUCCAGCCAUCAGGCCAGAUUAUCAUUUCUGUUGCAGGACCAAAGGUCCACAUGUUGAAAAAAUCCAAACAGAAGCCAAAAAAAACUGGAAGCUUGAAAGAGACAAGAACAGAUAGUGUCUCAGUCACUGAAGUGGGACAUUAAAGGAAGCAGACCUUCCCAGAACAGAAGCGGCAGAAAUACUGUCGAUGAAAGGAGCCUGCACUGUACAGAUGGGUGCUGGGUUUUGACUCUACCUGAGUUGACUGCAAAGACCAUGCAGAAACAGUAGCCUCUCUCCUCCAUGGACCACGCCAGAGAGCCUGUCUCACCAGUGCGCCAUUCCUACACUGGCUCCAAUUGAUACUCUGGAUCUGUUUCAUGCUGCUAGUCCUGACCUUCACAGAUUGUAAUGUGCUAAGUCCUGUCUCUCUCCCCCGCUGCCCCAUUGCAGUGGCUGUUAUCUGAAAUAGUGUGGUUUACAAUCCUGAAAAUAGAA